AAUAAUCUAGUGCAGUGGUCUCAAGGUGUGGUGUCAAAAACCAGCAGCAGCAUCACCCCCUGGAAAUUUGUUAGAAAUGCAGAUUCUCAGGCUCCACUCCAGACCUACUGAAUCAGAGACUCAGUAUCAGUAUUUAAUCUAUGGAGGAAUUCUACUCUAGAAAUGCUAUUUCUCUCCCCCGAAGAAGAAUGGGACCUUGAAGGACCUACUGGGACUAGUCAUUCAACCUUGGUGUGGGCCUGCCCACUUCUCCGGGACCAGACUGGGCCACCUCCUGAGAACCACAGAUGUGCCACGCCUUCAGGAACCCCAUCACAUGCUGUCCGAGGAGGAAGGAAGAGGGGUUGAGUGUGCUGACACACAGAGUAACAGGCUGUUUAGGAGAGAGGGUGGAAGAAGACGUCUCACAUAUGUGUGAUGCUCAUGAUAUGGCACAGAGGAGAACAGGACGACUGGCCACAACCUCAUACUAGACAGUUGGGAACCAAGGCCUGUGAGUGCUGGUGAUUUGUCUGGAGGCUCCCAAAUAUUUCUGGAGAAAAGGGCAUGAAAUCUCAGUCUAGAAAUGGACUCCCCCUCCUGUUCACUGACCAAGUGGAGCCCACCUUCAGCACACUGCUCCCCAACUCAGCCCACACAGACUUUCUAAAAGAUGUUCACAUGCAUACCCAACCACACACAUUAACAACCACUGUUGGGCUUCUCACAGCAAAGGUGGGAGACUCCUGCUCAGUCCUCUGCCAUCGCCACCUCCCUUCAGCACAAACCAUUGUUAAGUU
This 779-nucleotide long non-coding RNA is filed under the name Homo sapiens (human). RNAcentral describes it as "HSALNT0040133". Lineage: Eukaryota; Metazoa; Chordata; Mammalia; Primates; Hominidae. The record is from RNAcentral.